Molecule: ribosomal RNA, 253 nt
Filed under: uncultured bacterium
Lineage: Bacteria
Description: partial 16S ribosomal RNA
Rfam family: Bacterial small subunit ribosomal RNA
Source: RNAcentral
UACAGAGGGUGCGAGCGUUAAUCGGAAUUACUGGGCGUAAAGCGCGCGUAGGCGGCUUUGCAAGUCGGGUGUGAAAUCCCCGGGCUCAACCUGGGAACUGCAUUUGUGACUGCAAGGCUGGAGUGCGGCAGAGGGGGAUGGAAUUCCGCGUGUAGCAGUGAAAUGCGUAGAUAUGCGGAGGAACACCGAUGGCGAAGGCAAUCCCCUGGGCCUGCACUGACGCUCAUGCACGAAAGCGUGGGGAGCAAACAGG